RNAcentral lists this ribosomal RNA (468 nucleotides) under uncultured bacterium. Its description in RNAcentral is "partial 16S ribosomal RNA". It matches the Rfam family "Bacterial small subunit ribosomal RNA", at positions 28 to 507 of the family's 1533-position model. The record is from RNAcentral.
GACGAACGCUGGCGGCGUGCUUAACACAUGCAAGUCGAACGGAAAGGCCCUGCUUUUGUGGGGUGCUCGAGUGGCGAACGGGUGAGUAACACGUGAGUAACCUGCCCUUGACUUUGGGAUAACUUCAGGAAACUGGGGCUAAUACCGGAUAGGAGCUCCUGCUGCAUGGUGGGGGUUGGAAAGUUUCGGCGGUUGGGGAUGGACUGGCGGCUUAUCAGCUUGUUGGUGGGGUGGUGGCUUACCAAGGCUUUGACGGGUAGCCGGCCUGAGAGGGUGACCGGCCACAUUGGGACUGAGAUACGGCCCAGACUCCUACGGGAGGCAGCAGUGGGGAAUAUUGCACAAUGGGCGGAAGCCUGAUGCAGCAACGCCGCGUGCGGGAUGACGGCCUUCGGGUUGUAAACCGCUUUCGCCUGUGACGAAGCGUGAGUGACGGUAAUGGGUAAAGAAGCACCGGCUAACUACGUG